Molecule: ribosomal RNA, 1429 nt
Filed under: metagenome
Description: bacterial SSU rRNA
Rfam family: Bacterial small subunit ribosomal RNA
Source: RNAcentral
UCCUGGCUCAGGAUGAACGCUGGCGGCGUGUCUAAGGCAUGCAAGUCGAAUGUCUCUUCGGAGACAUGGCAGACGGGAGAGGAACACAUUGGUAACCUGCCCCCAAGAGAAGGAUAACCCCGAGAAAUCGGGAAUAAUACUUCAUGUGCUGCAUUUUUAUAAAUUUGUGUAGUAAAGAUUUAUCGCUUGGGGAGGGGCCUAUGUCCUAUCAGCUUGUUGGUGAGGUAAAAGCUCACCAAGGCAAUGACGGGUACCGGGUGUGAGAGCAUGACCCGGCUCAAUGGGACUGAGACACUGCCCAUACUCCUACGGGAGGCUGCAGUUAAGAAUAUUCCACAAUGGCCGAAAGGCUGAUGGAGCGACGCCGCGUGUAGGAAGACGCCCCUCGGGGUGUAAACUACUUUUAUUAGGGACGAACAAAUGACGGUACCUAAUGAAUAAGGGGCUGCUAACCUCGUGCCAGCAGCAGCGGUAAUACGAGGGCCCCAAGCGUUAUCCGGAAUUACUGGGCGUAAAGCGUCCGCAGGCGGUUUGGAAAGUAUAUCGUUAAAUCUCAGGGCUUAACUCUGGGGCUGCGAUGUAAACUAUCAAACUAGAGGAUGGGAGAGGCAUCUGGAAUUGUCGGUGUGGUAGUAAAAUGCGUUAAUAUCGACAGGAACACCAAAAGCGAAAGCUUGAUGCUGGAACAUUCCUGACGCUCAGGGACGAAAGCGUGGGUAGCGAAUCGGAUUAGAUACCCGAGUAGUCCACGCCGUAAACGAUGCACACUAGGCAUUGGUAGUAUCGACCCUAUCAGUGCCGCUUACCCAAGCUAACGCGUUAAGUGUGCCGCCUGGGGAGUACGGCCGCAAGGCUAAAACUCAAAGGAAUUGACGGGAACCCGCACAAGCGGUGGAGCAUGUGGUUUAAUUCGAUGAUAAGCGAGGAACCUCACCAAGGUUUGACAUCUAGCUGCAAACCCCCAGAAACGGGGGCUCUUUCGAAGGUGCUAGACAGGUGUUGCAUGGUUGUCGUCAGCUCGUGGCGUGAGCUGUACGGUUAAGUCCGGUAACGAGCGCAACCCCUAUGCUGUGUUAUAUAUGUCACAGCAGACUGCCUAUGUAAGUAGGAGGAAGGUGGGGAUGACGUCAAAUCAGCAUGGCCCUUACACCUUGGGCUACACACGUGCUACAAUGGCUAGGACAAUGCGUUGCCAACCCGUAAGGGGGAGCUAAUCGCAUCAAACCUAGUCCCAGUUCGGAUUGGAGUCUGCAACUCGACUCCAUGAAGUUGGAAUCGCUAGUAACCGCGUAUCAGCCACGACGCGGUGAAUACGUUCUCGGGUUUUGUACACACCGCCCGUCACAUCAAGAGAGUCGGGGGCACCCGAAUGUCGACGAUUGUCGGCAGAAGGUGAAACCGAUGAUAGGGAUGAAGUCGUAACAAGGCA